UCUCCCAUCCGAGUACUAACCAGGCCCGACCCUGCUUAGUUUCUGAGAUCAAACGAGAUUGGGCGCAUUCAGUGUGGUAUGGCCAUAGAC
RNAcentral lists this small RNA (90 nucleotides) under Cricetulus griseus (Chinese hamster). Lineage: Eukaryota; Metazoa; Chordata; Mammalia; Rodentia; Cricetidae. The record is from RNAcentral.